This 482-nucleotide ribosomal RNA is filed under the name uncultured bacterium. RNAcentral describes it as "bacterial SSU rRNA". It matches the Rfam family "Bacterial small subunit ribosomal RNA", at positions 29 to 507 of the family's 1533-position model. The record is from RNAcentral.
AUUGAACGCUGGCGGCAGGCCUAACACAUGCAAGUCGAGCGGCAGCGCGGGGCAACCUGGCGGCGAGCGGCGAACGGGUGAGUAACGCGUAGGAAUCUACCCAGUAGCGGGGGAUAGCCCGGGGAAACUCGGAUUAAUACCGCAUACGCCCUAAGGGGGAAAGCAGGGGAUCGCAAGACCUUGCACUAUUGGAAGAGCCUGCGUUGGAUUAGCUAGUUGGUAGGGUAAAGGCCUACCAAGGCGACGAUCCAUAACUGGUCUGAGAGGAUGAUCAGUCACACCGGAACUGAGACACGGUCCGGACUCCUACGGGAGGCAGCAGUGGGGAAUAUUGGACAAUGGGGGCAACCCUGAUCCAGCCAUGCCGCGUGUGUGAAGAAGGCCUUCGGGUUGUAAAGCACUUUAAGUGGGGAGAAAGGCUCGGUAGCUAAUAACUGCCGGGAUUGAUGCUACCCACAGAAUAAGCACCGGCUAACUCUGUG